GGGUUGUGAGGUUAAGCGACUAAGCGUACACGGUGGAUGCCCUGGCAGUCAGAGGCGAUGAAGGACGUGCUAAUCUGCGAUAAGCGUCGGUGAGGUGAUAUGAACCGUUAUAACCGGCGAUUUCCGAAUGGGGAAACCCAGUGUGUUUCGACACACUAUCAUUAACUGAAUCCAUAGGUUAAUGAGGCGAACCGGGGGAACUGAAACAUCUAAGUACCCCGAGGAAAAGAAAUCAACCGAGAUUCCCCCAGUAGCGGCGAGCGAACGGGGAGGAGCCCAGAGCCUGAA
RNAcentral lists this ribosomal RNA (288 nucleotides) under Escherichia coli O25b:H4-ST131. Its description in RNAcentral is "partial 23S ribosomal RNA". It matches the Rfam family "Bacterial large subunit ribosomal RNA", at positions 1 to 280 of the family's 2925-position model. The record is from RNAcentral. Lineage: Bacteria; Pseudomonadati; Pseudomonadota; Gammaproteobacteria; Enterobacterales; Enterobacteriaceae.